UGAGGCCUCGGGUAGAGGCUGUCCAUUCCAUGCACUAUGGUAGAGGCUGUCACAUGUCAUUAGAAAUGCGACAGUGUGCUAUGCUAACUUUUUUUUUUUUGUCUCUCUAGGAUAUCCGCCGACCAUUUUUGGUUUGGGCAUAUGUGAAUCCGAUCUACAGUGGAGCGGAGCGGCCAUCUUCAACUUGGGAAAGCCGUCCCAGGUUUUAUCUCCCACUGUAGCUAAAGCGAUACUGAGGCAGCCAUGUUGGGCAAGGGCAAAUUUGCCCUCAGUCUGUGAAGAGAGGAAUAAAUAAGAGCCGUGACGAGUCAGUUUGACUUGAGCCGCCUUCGACGUCAGGGACUGCCUCGCCCUCCGUUUGCACUUGCAGCUGCAAUGCUGCACAGGCGCUUCCGUCACAACUUGGUUUCUGAUCAAGGAGCGUGCUGUCGCUAGGAAAAUCCUACAUGAUAAUUACUAGCAAUAGAUGUCGAAGCCUUUCGGCGAUUUAUCAUGGAAUGAAAAUAGCACACAUGAUAGACCCCUGUGAAGCCAUAUGAAUUUCAUGCAGAUGUUUAACACUCAAGAAUCAGAAUUCAGAAAUGGCAUUAUGCUCAAGAGAAGCAGAUCUUUCCCAGAUUAAAAUUUUAACAAAAGUUUCAACUUUUGCAAUAUAAGAAUGCUGGUU
Hemicordylus capensis (graceful crag lizard) is the source of this 667-nucleotide long non-coding RNA. RefSeq lists it as uncharacterized. Lineage: Eukaryota; Metazoa; Chordata; Lepidosauria; Squamata; Cordylidae. The transcript has 3 exons. The record is from RefSeq and is a predicted model, not a curated record.